CCAAUAGCGUAUAUUAAAGUUGUUGCAGUUAAAAAGCUCGUAGUUGAAUUUCGGGGUCAGUAGGUUGGUCGUGCCACUGGUAUGUACUGGUCUCACUGAUUCCUCCUUCCUGAUGAGCCGUAAUGCCAUUAAUUUGGUGUUGCAGGGAAUCUGGACUGUUACUUUGAAAAAAUUAGAGUGUUUAAAGCAGGCUAACGCUUGAAUACAUUAGCAUGGAAUAAUGAAAUAGGACGUUCGAUCUUAUUUUGUUGGUUUCUAGGAUUGACGUAAUGAUUAAUAGGGAUAGUUGGGGGCAUUAGUAUUCAAUUGUCAGAGGUGAAAUUCUUGGAUUUAUUGAAGACUAACUACUGCGAAAGCAUUUGCCAAGGAUGUUUUCAUUAAUCAAGAACGAAAGUUAGGGGAUCGAAGACGAUCAGAUACCGUCGUAGUCUUAACCAUAAACUAUGCCGACUAGGGAUCGGAUGAUGUUAAUUUUUUAAUGACUCAUUCGGCGCCUUACG
RNAcentral lists this ribosomal RNA (500 nucleotides) under uncultured Glomeromycotina. RNAcentral describes it as "partial small subunit ribosomal RNA". It matches the Rfam family "Eukaryotic small subunit ribosomal RNA", at positions 591 to 1092 of the family's 1831-position model. Lineage: Eukaryota; Fungi; Glomeromycota. The record is from RNAcentral.